This 373-nucleotide ribosomal RNA is filed under the name uncultured organism. Its description in RNAcentral is "partial 16S ribosomal RNA". It matches the Rfam family "Bacterial small subunit ribosomal RNA", at positions 527 to 896 of the family's 1533-position model. The record is from RNAcentral.
GGAGGGUGCAAACGUUGUUCGGAAUCACUGGGCGUAAAGGGCGCGCAGGCGGACCUGUAAGUCAGGAGUGAAAACUCGGGGCUCAACUCCGAGCCUGCUUCUGAAACUGCAAGUCUUGAGGGCCGGAGAGGAGAGUGGAAUUCCUAGUGUAGCGGUGGAAUGCGUAGAUAUUAGGAAGAACACCAGUGGCGAAGGCGACUCUCUGGACGGUUCCUGACGCUGAGGCGCGAAAGCUAGGGGAGCAAACAGGAUUAGAUACCCUGGUAGUCCUAGCCGUAAACGAUGAGUGCUAGGUGGUGGUGGUUUCAACGCCCUUCACUGCCGGAGCUAACGCAUUAAGCACUCCGCCCUGGGGAGUACGGCCGCAAGGUUG